This 445-nucleotide long non-coding RNA is filed under the name Vitis vinifera (wine grape). RNAcentral's name for it is "long non-coding RNA (VVIN_LNC001321)". The record is from RNAcentral. Lineage: Eukaryota; Viridiplantae; Streptophyta; Magnoliopsida; Vitales; Vitaceae.
CCAACAGCCCAUCAACAUUAACUGAAUCAUGAUUGUGUGGGAGAGAAUGAUCCAUGAUAGUGCUUCUGCAUAACAUGAUAGCUGCUGAAACAGAAACAUUUUAUACCAGAAAAUUUCCUGAGAGGAAAAUUAUCCCCAACAGUCCUUCAAGUAUGUGUAUGCCUUGAAACAUAACACAAUGAAGAAGAAAAAAAAAAUAAUUAGAAAAAGAGUUACUCAGGACUGUGAACAGCCAUAUGAACUAUUGGACAGGGAAAAAAAAAAAAAAGGCUACUUCUUUAUCAAGAUUGACAGCAUAAUUUCCAAAGCUGACCAUGAGCCUCUUUCAGUGGAAGUUCUCCCUGAACUUCUUCUUCUCAGAACCAUCCACAGGAAAUUCUCAUCGGGCAAUAAGACCAUCCCAGGAAGAGCUGAUGAUCAUAGGGCUGAAAGGGUAUGUUUUUCA